CUAGGGCAAUACAAAACUUAGCUAUCUCAAAACUGAGUACUAUUGACAAGUGCAGCUUAUGUUCAUUUCUGAGUAUUAUUGACAAGUAAAACCAUUAUUGUCUUGGUCUGAAUUCUAUCACCAAAACGACUAGUCUCUAUUUUGAUAGCAUGUUACUGUUUUCGUAAAAACCAAUUUGGUGUACCUAAUCCCUUGUUGAUUUUGUUGUAUACAAGGUUGAAAAACUUUGGUCCCCACGAGAAGAUUGGAACUGCGUAGUAAAACAAAUAGUGCAUGAUUUACAACACCAAGAUUCCAAACUACUCGGUAAAUAUUCUUGCAAGCUUAGGGUAAGCUUUAUAAGAAAUGAUGGCAACAAAAAAUGUCAAUUACUAAGCAUGACUCUCGAAGACUAGAGUAUGAAGCUUGGAAAUAAGGUUUCACCCGCCAAAAAGAAAACAAUUCACUAUUCAUUAUUUAAUACUAUA
RNAcentral lists this small RNA (467 nucleotides) under Arabidopsis thaliana (thale cress). RNAcentral's name for it is "ATSL296440". Lineage: Eukaryota; Viridiplantae; Streptophyta; Magnoliopsida; Brassicales; Brassicaceae. The record is from RNAcentral.